AUGGCUGUACCACCCUGAACACGCCCAAUCUCGCCUGCUCUCAGAAGCUAAGCAGGAUUGAGCCUGGUCAGUACUUGGAUGGGAGACCUCCUGGGAACACCAGGUAGGCUUUU
Molecule: ribosomal RNA, 113 nt
Filed under: Microcebus murinus (gray mouse lemur)
Lineage: Eukaryota; Metazoa; Chordata; Mammalia; Primates; Cheirogaleidae
Source: RNAcentral